This 511-nucleotide ribosomal RNA is filed under the name uncultured Bacillota bacterium. Its description in RNAcentral is "bacterial SSU rRNA". It matches the Rfam family "Bacterial small subunit ribosomal RNA", at positions 393 to 896 of the family's 1533-position model. Lineage: Bacteria; Bacillati; Bacillota. The record is from RNAcentral.
AACGCCGCGUGAGUGAUGAAGGCUUCGGGUCGUAAAACUCUGUUGUUAGGGAAGAACAAGUACAAGAGUAACUGCUUGUACCUUGACGGUACCUAACCAGAAAGCCACGGCUAACUACGUGCCAGCAGCCGCGGUAAUACGUAGGUGGCAAGCGUUAUCCGGAAUAUUGGGCGUAAAGCGCGCGCAGGCGGUUUCUUAAGUCUGAUGUGAAAGCCCACGGCUCAACCGUGGAGGGUCAUUGGAAACUGGGGAACUUGAGUGCAGAAGAGAAAAGCGGAAUUCCACGUGUAGCGGUGAAAUGCGUAGAGAUGUGGAGGAACACCAGUGGCGAAGGCGGCUUUUUGGUCUGUAACUGACGCUGAGGCGCGAAAGCGUGGGGAGCAAACAGGAUUAGAUACCCUGGUAGUCCACGCCGUAAACGAUGAGUGCUAAGUGUUAGAGGGUUUCCGCCCUUUAGUGCUGCAGCUAACGCUAUUAAGCACUCCGCCUGGGGAGUACGGUCGCAAGACUG